UAGGGAAUCUUCCACAAUGGACGAAAGUCUGAUGGAGCAACGCCGCGUGAGUGAAGAAGGUUUUCGGAUCGUAAAGCUCUGUUGUUGGUGAAGAAGGAUAGAGGCAGUAACUGGUCUUUAUUUGACGGUAAUCAACCAGAAAGUCACGGCUAACUACGUGCCAGCAGCCGCGGUAAUACGUAGGUGGCAAGCGUUGUCCGGAUUUAUUGGGCGUAAAGCGAGCGCAGGCGGAAUGAUAAGUCUGAUGUGAAAGCCCACGGCUCAACCGUGGAACUGCAUCGGAAACUGUCAUUCUUGAGUGCAGAAGAGGAGAGUGGAACUCCUAUGUGUAGCGGUGGAAUGCGUAGAUAUAUGGAAGAACACCAGUGGCGAAGGCGGCUCUCUGGUCUGCAACUGACGCUGAGGCUCGAAAGCAUGGGUAGCGAACAGGAUUAGAUACCCUGGUAGUCCAUGCCGUAAACGAUGAGCGCUAGGUGUUGGGGACUUUCCGGUGCCUCAGUGCCGCAGCAAACGCAUUAAGCGCUCCGCCUGGGGAGUACGACCGCAAGGUUGAAAC
RNAcentral lists this ribosomal RNA (556 nucleotides) under uncultured bacterium. Its description in RNAcentral is "partial 16S ribosomal RNA". It matches the Rfam family "Bacterial small subunit ribosomal RNA", at positions 355 to 900 of the family's 1533-position model. The record is from RNAcentral.